GGGUUGUGAGGUUAAGCGACUAAGCGUACACGGUGGAUGCCCUGGCAGUCAGAGGCGAUGAAGGACGUGCUAAUCUGCGAUAAGCGUCGGUGAGGUGAUAUGAACCGUUAUAACCGGCGAUUUCCGAAUGGGGAAACCCAGUGUGUUUCGACACACUAUCAUUAACUGAAUCCAUAGGUUAAUGAGGCGAACCGGGGGAACUGAAACAUCUAAGUACCCCGAGGAAAAGAAAUCAACCGAGAUUCCCCCAGUAGCGGCGAGCGAACGGGGAGGAGCCCAGAGCCUGAAUCAGUGUGUGUGUUAGUGGAAGCGUCUGGAAAGGCGUGCGAUACAGGGUGACAGCCCCGUACACAAAAAUGCACAUAUUGUGAGCUCGAUGAGUAGGGCGGGACACGUGGUAUCCUGUCUGAAUAUGGGGGGACCAUCCUCCAAGGCUAAAUACUCCUGACUGACCGAUAGUGAACCAGUACCGUGAGGGAAAGGCGAAAAGAACCCCGGCGAGGGGAGUGAAAAAGAACCUGAAACCGUGUACGUACAAGCAGUGGGAGCCUCUUUAUGGGGUGACUGCGUACCUUUUGUAUAAUGGGUCAGCGACUUAUAUUCUGUAGCAAGGUUAACCGAAUAGGGGAGCCGAAGGGAAACCGAGUCUUAACUGGGCGUUAAGUUGCAGGGUAUAGACCCGAAACCCGGUGAUCUAGCCAUGGGCAGGUUGAAGGUUGGGUAACACUAACUGGAGGACCGAACCGACUAAUGUUGAAAAAUUAGCGGAUGACUUGUGGCUGGGGGUGAAAGGCCAAUCAAACCGGGAGAUAGCUGGUUCUCCCCGAAAGCUAUUUAGGUAGCGCCUCGUGAAUUCAUCUCCGGGGGUAGAGCACUGUUUCGGCAAGGGGGUCAUCCCGACUUACCAACCCGAUGCAAACUGCGAAUACCGGAGAAUGUUAUCACGGGAGACACACGGCGGGUGCUAACGUCCGUCGUGAAGAGGGAAACAACCCAGACCGCCAGCUAAGGUCCCAAAGUCAUGGUUAAGUGGGAAACGAUGUGGGAAGGCCCAGACAGCCAGGAUGUUGGCUUAGAAGCAGCCAUCAUUUAAAGAAAGCGUAAUAGCUCACUGGUCGAGUCGGCCUGCGCGGAAGAUGUAACGGGGCUAAACCAUGCACCGAAGCUGCGGCAGCGACACUAUGUGUUGUUGGGUAGGGGAGCGUUCUGUAAGCCUGUGAAGGUGGCCUGUGAGGGUUGCUGGAGGUAUCAGAAGUGCGAAUGCUGACAUAAGUAACGAUAAAGCGGGUGAAAAGCCCGCUCGCCGGAAGACCAAGGGUUCCUGUCCAACGUUAAUCGGGGCAGGGUGAGUCGACCCCUAAGGCGAGGCCGAAAGGCGUAGUCGAUGGGAAACAGGUUAAUAUUCCUGUACUUGGUGUUACUGCGAAGGGGGGACGGAGAAGGCUAUGUUGGCCGGGCGACGGUUGUCCCGGUUUAAGCGUGUAGGCUGGUUUUCCAGGCAAAUCCGGAAAACCAAGGCUGAGGCGUGAUGACGAGGCACUACGGUGCUGAAGCGACAAAUGCCCUGCUUCCAGGAAAAGCCUCUAAGCAUCAGGUAACAUCAAAUCGUACCCCAAACCGACACAGGUGGUCAGGUAGAGAAUACCAAGGCGCUUGAGAGAACUCGGGUGAAGGAACUAGGCAAAAUGGUGCCGUAACUUCGGGAGAAGGCACGCUGAUAUGUAGGUGAAGCGACUUGCUCGUGGAGCUGAAAUCAGUCGAAGAUACCAGCUGGCUGCAACUGUUUAUUAAAAACACAGCACUGUGCAAACACGAAAGUGGACGUAUACGGUGUGACGCCUGCCCGGUGCCGGAAGGUUAAUUGAUGGGGUUAGCGGUAACGCGAAGCUCUUGAUCGAAGCCCCGGUAAACGGCGGCCGUAACUAUAACGGUCCUAAGGUAGCGAAAUUCCUUGUCGGGUAAGUUCCGACCUGCACGAAUGGCGUAAUGAUGGCCAGGCUGUCUCCACCCGAGACUCAGUGAAAUUGAACUCGCUGUGAAGAUGCAGUGUACCCGCGGCAAGACGGAAAGACCCCGUGAACCUUUACUAUAGCUUGACACUGAACAUUGAGCCUUGAUGUGUAGGAUAGGUGGGAGGCUUUGAAGUGUGGACGCCAGUCUGCAUGGAGCCGACCUUGAAAUACCACCCUUUAAUGUUUGAUGUUCUAACGUUGGCCCGUAAUCCGGGUUGCGGACAGUGUCUGGUGGGUAGUUUGACUGGGGCGGUCUCCUCCUAAAGAGUAACGGAGGAGCACGAAGGUUGGCUAAUCCUGGUCGGACAUCAGGAGGUUAGUGCAAUGGCAUAAGCCAGCUUGACUGCGAGCGUGACGGCGCGAGCAGGUGCGAAAGCAGGUCAUAGUGAUCCGGUGGUUCUGAAUGGAAGGGCCAUCGCUCAACGGAUAAAAGGUACUCCGGGGAUAACAGGCUGAUACCGCCCAAGAGUUCAUAUCGACGGCGGUGUUUGGCACCUCGAUGUCGGCUCAUCACAUCCUGGGGCUGAAGUAGGUCCCAAGGGUAUGGCUGUUCGCCAUUUAAAGUGGUACGCGAGCUGGGUUUAGAACGUCGUGAGACAGUUCGGUCCCUAUCUGCCGUGGGCGCUGGAGAACUGAGGGGGGCUGCUCCUAGUACGAGAGGACCGGAGUGGACGCAUCACUGGUGUUCGGGUUGUCAUGCCAAUGGCACUGCCCGGUAGCUAAAUGCGGAAGAGAUAAGUGCUGAAAGCAUCUAAGCACGAAACUUGCCCCGAGAUGAGUUCUCCCUGAGACUUAGAGUCUCCUGAAGGAACGUUGAAGACGACGACGUUGAUAGGCCGGGUGUGUAAGCGCAGCGAUGCGUUGAGCUAACCGGUACUAAUGAACCGUGAGGCUUAACCUUACAACGCCGAAGCUGUU
Molecule: ribosomal RNA, 2930 nt
Filed under: Escherichia coli
Lineage: Bacteria; Pseudomonadati; Pseudomonadota; Gammaproteobacteria; Enterobacterales; Enterobacteriaceae
Description: bacterial LSU rRNA
Rfam family: Bacterial large subunit ribosomal RNA
Source: RNAcentral